AUAUAUUGCUUUUUUUUAGUGUAUUUUCGACAUGCUCGUAGUACAUUCGGACAAAGAUCAAUGGCACUACAAUACUUUUUUUGCUCUUGUGACGACUCUUAAUGCACCUGUGAGCAUCAUUUUCGGACGAACUUACACACUGGCGAGAGAGAGAGAGAGAGAGAGAGAGAGAUCCUUAAGCUUUUUUUCUAUUCAUCCUUGAAAUUUUUGUAUCUCGUACGUUAAUGGGACACGUUUUAUGUAUCCGGCUAAUGUUUCUUUUUUUUUCUUCAAGUUUUGAAUUACGUAGCAGAUCCAUUCGUACACGUCGUUGAAUUUCAUUGGUAUUCUAUUGGAAUGCGGAUAAACCUGCUAGGAAUAAAAAGCUAUGAACCUGCUGAUUCAUACUUCUCGAUUUCAACCUAGACGGACCACUCUAAAGACUUACAUAUUAUCUCAACGUACUUCAAUCUGUUAUACCAUCGGUCGUACUGAAUCUGUCAUAGAUUCGAAUUACAAAAGACUCCAUAGAAAAUACAGAAUUCGACCGAGUAGAUCACUUACCGGUAUCGCCGUUAAUUUGCGAACUGGUACGUUCCUUCUCCGUGUUGUCGCUUGCUGCCACGGUCUUUGUAUUCUCGUCCUCUACAACGAAAGUAUGCUCGUUAAUAGAUCAAAUAACGAUUACAUUUUAUAGCAUACCUGUCGAUUAUUAUAGCACAGAGAAAAAUAGGAUUCAUGUGAUCCUUGUUAGUUUUAUUUUUUCGAUUAUUAAUUACUACACGAUCGUCAAGAAACAUAUUCGGUGAAUGACACCAAUGAAAUAUGUAUAUAUCUUUUUUUAUGUAAAUAUAUGUUCAUUAUGUAUGGGAAAAUAUGUUUGCUUCUCUUUAUUAA
Vespa mandarinia (Asian giant hornet) is the source of this 876-nucleotide long non-coding RNA. NCBI's taxonomy places the organism in Eukaryota, Metazoa, Arthropoda, Insecta, Hymenoptera, Vespidae. The record is from RefSeq and is a predicted model, not a curated record.